GUAGAAAAAUAGUUUCCGUUAGAUAAAAGUAGAAAUCUAGCUGGAAUCUUGCCAGAAUUUAGAGAAUUUGGUCGGAAACUCUCCAGAAUCUAGGCAUCUCUCUGGAAUAUGUGCAUGAACCAUCAUUCGGAGAAUUAAAGCGCAAUUGUCUUGACUGAAGGCGCAAUUGCCUCGCCUUGCUAGGAAAUUGGGCCUAGGCGCAAGAGGCGAUGGCUUUUAACAACUAUGGUUCAGUGUUUGAUUUGGUUGAUUUUUUUGUACAGGUACUGUGGUUAAUUUUAAAUACACGGUCUUCAUACUUUUUGCUGUUAAUUUGUAGUUACAAAGUGAUAAUUUGCUCGGAUCUGCUUAAAAUUUUAUUGCUCCAUGAUUUUAAAAAUCUGGUGAUGGGAGUGUUGAGCUGUGUAGUGAGCAAAAUAUAAUGAUUGUUCUAGCGCCAUUAUUUAACUUCACUUUCGAUUGUGUUUGUGGUGCAAGUUCUCGAUAGUGUUUCCACCAUUUGAUAUAGUGUAAGCUACGUGUAACGGUGUAAGCAACUUUGAUGCUAGCUACAAUAGUAUAAAGCCCUGUGAGCCUGCAAGUGAUUCUUGCAUUCUGUCAAGAAGAAAAGUGCAUAGAGAACAUCGAAGGUUUGAUAAAGAAUAUGUGAUGCGGUGAGGAAGUUGGGCCAGAACCGUAAAUGCCUUUGUGUCGUUAUGUUGUCUAGAACUGCCAAGAGUUGGGUGAAGCUAGAUAUUGUUAUGACCAUUCCGAAACAGUGCAAUAUAGCUGAUCGUCCUGUUGGUUAUCAAGUGGAGCUUAUAUAGUGCCUUGAAAACUUGAAGGCUAUUAGUUUCGACGGAAGCUGUACCAGUCUUGUGCCAAGUGCAAGAGAGAGAGAGAAAGAAAUUACGGUAGAGAGAGGGAGAAAGAGGGAGAGAGAGGCAGGGAGGAGAAACGACGGCGUCGUUUAGGGUUCCGUCGCAAACACAACGCCGUUGGCGACUAUGGUUGACGUUGCAAGCUCCGGUUCUGUCAAGAGAAGAAUAUUUGAUACUUUUUCAGCAUAAUUCGGUAAUCUUGAAUCAGUUCCGGUGAAGCUCCGAUGAACCGUUCAACACUUACAUGUCUCAGAUCUGUUUAGAUCGGUGACUCUCAGGCCACCAUCGAUGGGUUAGGUUUCACGGCUUUCCCAUUGAUUGAGGAUAUCUCAGGAGCCACGCGAUGACAUUGUGGUUGUAGUAGAUUUAGAUGGCGAUGAAAGGUUAACGUGGUGAUUUUGAAAGUGUUUUGGUCUCGAAAUAUUUUCUCAAUUUGUUAGUGGGAGGGAGCUGUGGCACAUGAAGACUUUGAGGGGAAUAAAGUGACUAUUGGAGCUGGUGAUUUGCAGUGGAUGACUGACAGAUAGACAUAAGAGGGAUGGGAAUCAUUGGGACGGCUACUCGUGUAUGGAUUGAUAGAUAAAAAUUGUUGAGCUUUGGAAACCCAAAACAUAUCGGAUGGGGCUUCUGGUGUGGAAGUGAUAAAAAAGUCAAGGGUCGAGUUCGGUAUCAGGUGAUACCUUAGCCGAGUAAAAGGGUUUUUGAAGACUAUUAGAUGCUUUCAAUGAUGACUGGGAGCCUCAGCCUCAAAGAUCAUGAUGUAUGAUUUAGAUGCAUAGACAGGUUACCAUCUUCAGUAUAGAAAGGACUUUGUACAACAUUUAUUGUUAUUUUUUUUUUAUUUUUGGCACUAACUAGGCGGAAUACUUUAUAAAACAAAUAUUUUAAUUCG
Molecule: long non-coding RNA, 1752 nt
Organism: Helianthus annuus (common sunflower)
Lineage: Eukaryota; Viridiplantae; Streptophyta; Magnoliopsida; Asterales; Asteraceae
Exons: 7
Source: RefSeq, a predicted model, not a curated record